UACAGAGGAGCCAAGCGUUGUCCGGAUUGACUGGGCGUAAAGCGCACGCAGGCGGUCGUGCGCGUGGGGUGUGAAAUCUGGCCGCUUAACGGCCAGGCGCCAUCCCAUACGGCACGACUGGAGGGCUGCAGAGGUCGAUGGAAUUGCCGGUGUAGUGGUGAAAUGCGUAGAGAUCGGCAGGAACACCCAGGGGGAACCGAGUCGACUGGGCAGCACCUGA
RNAcentral lists this ribosomal RNA (220 nucleotides) under uncultured bacterium. RNAcentral describes it as "partial 16S ribosomal RNA". It matches the Rfam family "Bacterial small subunit ribosomal RNA", at positions 524 to 743 of the family's 1533-position model. The record is from RNAcentral.